GAUGAACGCUGGCGGCGUGCUUAACACAUGCAAGUCGAACGAUGAAGCCCAGCUUGCUGGGUGGAUUAGUGGCGAACGGGUGAGUAACACGUGAGUAACCUGCCCUUAACUCUGGGAUAAGCCUGGGAAACUGGGUCUAAUACCGGAUAGGAGCGUCCACCGCAUGGUGGGUGUUGGAAAGAUUUAUCGGUUUUGGCUGGACUCGCGGCCUAUCAGCUUGUUGGUGAGGUAAUGGCUUACCAAGGCGACGACGGGUAGCCGGCCUGAGAGGGUGACCGGCCACACUGGGACUGAGACACGGCCCAGACUCCUACGGGAGGCAGCAGUGGGGAAUAUUGCACAAUGGGCGCAAGCCUGAUGCAGCGACGCCGCGUGAGGGAUGACGGCCUUCGGGUUGUAAACCUCUUUCAGUAGGGAAGAAGCGAAAGUGACGGUACCUGCAGAAGAAGCACCGGCUAACUACGUG
RNAcentral lists this ribosomal RNA (466 nucleotides) under uncultured bacterium. RNAcentral describes it as "partial 16S ribosomal RNA". It matches the Rfam family "Bacterial small subunit ribosomal RNA", at positions 28 to 507 of the family's 1533-position model. The record is from RNAcentral.